This 305-nucleotide ribosomal RNA is filed under the name uncultured bacterium. RNAcentral's name for it is "bacterial SSU rRNA". It matches the Rfam family "Bacterial small subunit ribosomal RNA", at positions 338 to 661 of the family's 1533-position model. The record is from RNAcentral.
CCUACGGGGCGCAGCAGUCGAGAAUCAUUCACAAUGGGGGAAACCCUGAUGCAGCGACGCCGCGUGAGGGAAGACGGUCUUCGGAUUGUAAACCUCUGUCUUUGGGGAAGAAAAUGACGGUACCCAAAGAGGAAGCUCCGGCUAACUACGUGCCAGCAGCCGCGGUAAUACGUAGGGAGCGAGCGUUGUCCGGAAUUACUGGGUGUAAAGGGAGCGUAGGCGGGUGAGAAAGUUGAAUGUUAAAUCUACCGGCUUAACUGGUAGCUGCGUUCAAAACUUCUUGUCUUGAGUGAAGUAGAGGCAGG